Molecule: ribosomal RNA, 455 nt
Filed under: uncultured bacterium
Lineage: Bacteria
Description: bacterial SSU rRNA
Rfam family: Bacterial small subunit ribosomal RNA
Source: RNAcentral
CGCUGGCGGCGUGCUUAACACAUGCAAGUCGAACGGUAAGGCCCUUCGGGGUACACGAGUGGCGAACGGGUGAGUAACACGUGGGUGAUCUGCCCUGCACUUCGGGAUAAGCCUGGGAAACUGGGUCUAAUACCGGAUAGGACCAUGGACUUCACGGUUUGUGGUGGAAAGCUUUUGCGGUGUGGGAUGGGCCCGCGGCCUAUCAGCUUGUUGGUGGGGUAAUGGCCUACCAAGGCGACGACGGGUAGCCGGCCUGAGAGGGUGUCCGGCCACACUGGGACUGAGAUACGGCCCAGACUCCUACGGGAGGCAGCAGUGGGGAAUAUGCACAAUGGGCGCAAGCCUGAUGCAGCGACGCCGCGUGAGGGAUGACGGCCUUCGGGUUGUAAACCUCUUUCAAUAGGGACGAAGCGCAAGUGACGGUACCUAUAGAAGAAGCACCGGCCAACUACGUG